Molecule: RNA transcript, 1958 nt
Organism: Ceratina calcarata
Lineage: Eukaryota; Metazoa; Arthropoda; Insecta; Hymenoptera; Apidae
Gene name: cilia- and flagella-associated protein 61-like
Exons: 7
Source: RefSeq, a predicted model, not a curated record
UCGUUUCCGAAUUCAGACAGAGCUUCAUGCGAUUUACGAACUUGACUCUGAUAUCGCCCCACGGUUUGCCUUUUGACAAUGAUUCCGAUGAAAGGAGCGCACGUAUGAUACCCUUCAGAGGUCGAUAUUGUCGAAAUUAUCACCGAUUGGUACCUACCCGUUCUUGGAUCAACGUCGUUUACGGCAUCGUAGCAACGAUUCAGAGGAAAGACAAGUACGUAGCGGUGAUGCAUCAAGGGAACAUAGCGUACGAUUAUUUAAUCCUGACUUGUGGACUUCAGUACCAAAGACCUCGCUUCGAAGAGGAAAUAGAAGAACUGAAAAAAGGAGAAUUCGUGGAUCGCGAAACACCUUGGAAUUGUAUAACGAUCAACGACGAUGUCGAAGCUGCCGCUUGUAUACAGAAGUUGCAAGAUCUGACAGACAAUUUUCAACACGAAAGAAGGAUCAUCUUUUACGGGCAUAACAUCAAUCUCUACUGCGCCCUUCAAGGAUUGUUCGAAAUCGGAUUGAAGGGUUCCUGGGUCACCGCGAUUCAGCCUCCGUUGGAAGCGUGCAUGUUCCAUGACUCUGCCUUUUAUAAUGACUGCGAGGUGUACUUGGAAGUGAUGAAGUCUCUUACGAGAAACAAAGUCGAUGUACUAGUGGGAUGGGAGUUGAUGGGAUGGUACCUGAAGGACGCGCCAGAAGGGAAGAUGAUCGAGGCAGUCGACAUUCAAUACAAAGGCAAAAUAAAAACGAUAGAUUGCGACGCUUUGAUCAAUUUUAACGAGAGGAUCAUUAACAGGAAGAUAUUCAUGGCGAUAUGCAAGGCUGGUCUCGUGUUCGAUGGUCUGUUGGUCAUAGAUCCAGACUUGAGGACGAACGAUAAAUGGAUCUUCGCUGGCGGCAGCAUGACCAAGUAUUGCAAGAAGUUUCACGCGGAGAACUGGGAGCAUUCGUACUUCAACAGUUUGGAGAUAGGCGAGAGAGUUAGUAGAACGAACUUGGAAACUCCUGACUACUAUGAACGAUAAAAAUUUGAUAGCUCGCGAGGAUUCUCCGAUCGGACAUCGACAAACAGCACCGCGGCGACGAGACUCCGUUCGUACCGUUCAAAGGCAAGACGUACUUACCGAUACCCUCGUUCCGUUCGCCGAUUAUCGUGGGAGGCGUCAUGCCCGGUGGUUAUCACUAUCUUCACGUUUGCAGACCCGGCAUACCUGUGCUGCGGAAGUACGCCAUUCAUUAUCACAUUUAUGUGAGCCAUCAUUACGUUAUUUAACACUACGUUAAAUUUGCAAAUUCUUACCUUUACAAACUGCUUUCGAGAAAUUAGGGAGAAGUGAUGAUAACAGGGUCUUGCACGUCUGAUAUCGGUUAUUUACGAAUAAGACUGAAUCGACUCGACACGGUCGAGACAGUCACGUGUUUCAGCAAAAAGGUAAAACUACAGUCUUAUUAUUGCGGGUAUUAUCUAUAUAGUUAACCGGUUUUAGGAAUUUGAGGUACGGCACAUGAUCGCGUUGCACGGGAAGCACGAAAGCUUGUUGAACGAAUUGAAAGCUCGCUUCCACGUAAGUCCACUUCGGUUUAGACAGAUUCUAAUAAUAGAGAAUGAUUUGAUCACGGUAGGAUAGAUUGAUCAUCGAUUUUUACGCGUACUUCCGUGAGCCAUGGGCGUUGGCACUCUUCUAUGAAAAAUUCGAGUGUCUCCGUGUCGAAAACCGAGCUACACUCUUGUCGAGAACGGCCAUUCCCGGACAGUCCCUGAUCAGCGAUUGUAUACGCGCUUUGAAUAAAUCCGAGAUCGGCGGAGUGAGUAUUUACGAAGAACAAAAUCGUCAGGGAUCGAAAUCAAUUUUUUUUUAUAAACGAACCUUUAGAUCGAAGACAGCGACCGACGGAAUAUUCAGGCGAGGUACGCUGGCUCGGUUUACCAGCAAGAGAUCGAGGAGAAUCUGUUGAACUUCCUGCAG